UACUAGCGGUCCAAGUCGCAGCCAUUUUUAUUGGGUCUAAAACAUCCGUAGCUUGCUUAAUAAGUUCCCUGUGAAAUUUUAUGUCUUAAACAUAAAGCGUGCAAGGAGUACUAUUGAGCUAGAGACUGGAAGACGUAAGAAGUAUAUUCAAAGUAGCGGUAAAAUGUUCUAAUCUUGAAUAGACUAACAAUAGCGAAGGCAUCUUACGAGGACAGUUCUGACAGUAAGGGAUGAAGGCUAGGGGCGCAAAACGGAUUAGAUACCCCCGUA
This 270-nucleotide ribosomal RNA is filed under the name uncultured prokaryote. RNAcentral describes it as "partial 16S ribosomal RNA". It matches the Rfam family "Archaeal small subunit ribosomal RNA", at positions 474 to 743 of the family's 1478-position model. The record is from RNAcentral.